RNAcentral lists this long non-coding RNA (8076 nucleotides) under Homo sapiens (human). RNAcentral's name for it is "HSALNT0395418". Lineage: Eukaryota; Metazoa; Chordata; Mammalia; Primates; Hominidae. The record is from RNAcentral.
AUUUCCUCCUCGGUCCCACCCUGGUCCAUGAGUGUCGUGAGCCAGUGCCUGGCUGCCUCGGCAGAGAGCUGGGGUCGCCAGAGUGACCGCCCUCGUCCGUAGCACGGUACCAGCACGUCUCUGACGGCCAAAGUGCAGGUGCCAGGUGCCGGCCGCGAUGCUGGGAAGAUGCUGUGGCUGUCUCUCCACGAACCAAGCGACCCACAGGUCCACACCAGCACUUCUGUGGUGUCAGCACCAGUGUCGCCUGAGCCUCCCUCUCAGGCUCUUCCUGAUUUUUAUUUCCCUUUGGAUGGCAGAGUCCCUGAGUCCCCCACAGGCCAGUGACGUUCCCCGUCACCUGUGACUUCUGGCAGACGCAGAGGAAACGAGCGGCACUGUUAGGGCCUUUGUGAGCUGCAUGCAUCCCCGCCCCACCCACCUCCUGCUGUGGCCGCCCUGAUGGGCGCUGAGAUAGGGGAUGUGCCACCAGCACUGUCGCCACGUCCCAUCUCCCUCCCAGGUUCUGGUGGGGCGUGCGCUGACGUCACGGAACUGCCCGGGCUUCCCUCUGCCAUGGGCUGGAGCGCCCAGAGCCCAGAUAAGCCCCACGUGUUUCUGCAAAGGCCCCGGCCUGUCUCAGGGCGGCUUCCUGGAGCAAUUAGUAGUGUGCAUUUCAUCACCCCACUCCCUUCCCCAAAUUCCCUUUCAACAACCCCCGACUAUUUUUAAGAAUAACAAUAAUAAAACACAGAUGGAGAACCAGGAAUUGUGUCAUGGGAACUGAUAACAGGACACACUGGCACUGAGCUCCAGGAGGAACCCUGGCUGCAAACACACACCCGAGGCUGGCUCGCCCAAGGCUCUGCGGGGCCAGAGACCCAGGCAAGCAAAGGUGCCCCACAUGCCCGGCCCCGCCAGCAGCACCUCCUGACAUGGCGCCCACAGAAGGUCCCGACUCUGUCCCGUGUGGGAGCUCAGCCUCUGUAAAGACACAGGCACGCGUGGGCUCCCCGCAGGCCCUGCUCAGAGCCACGCUGAUCCUGGGCCCUGCCCAAGACGGGACCUGGCACUCAGCCACAGGACGCAGAGCCAGGCUCUCUGCAGAGGGCUCCGCCCCCAGUGUGGAAGGCACCAGAAGGAGCCCGGGCUCCCGCCCCUCCGUGUGACUCUUCACAAACACUAAGGAGGAUAACGACAGGGCCCAGGUGCUCGCAGGCUGCUCCCGGACUGGCACGCAGGACCUGACUUGUCCCAGAGUGCGCACGGCAGCUCCUCACCAGAGGCACUUUCCGUGACACUCGGGCGGCGCUGCGGGGCCUCGGCACAACGCAGAGAGAAAGACGGCUCUGUUCUGUGUGGGGGUCGCACGUCCCCACCCAAAUGCCCUAGGCUGCUGGUUGCUCAGCGGCCUCCCGCCCACUGUGCUGCUGAGUGCAGCGGCCCCCAGGAGCUCCGUGCCCUGCUGUGCUUGGCAUCUGUGGCACGAGACAGGGAUGCCCCAGAAUUCGAGACCAGUUAACUCCUUUCCCACUGCGCUGGUUCAGCCUUGCUACAAAAGACGUCUGCAAAGAGGCAGGAGGAGCCACCUGCCCAGGAGGAAGACACGGUGGGGGUUCAGGUAGCUCAGAACAGGCCCCACCUGUGGGGGAAGGGAGGCUGCCCAAUGCAUGAAGAGACUGGGCUCAGGUCCUCAUCCAACCCUGGCCAGCGGAGCUCCAAAAGAAAGGACUCCAGUCAGAAUAGUGAUUGUGGGGACGAAAGAGGCCUAAAUGAUCAACACAGGGGAAAGGUGGGGACACUACAAAGAAAUAAUGAAGCCAUGAGUGGACCCUGAAGGGUAACAGCGACAGGGACAGGAGGGAGGCCUGAGAGGUAACGACGGUGGGACGUGGGGAGGACUGAGGGGUAACGACGGUGGGACGUGGGGAGGCCUGAGGGGUAACAACGGUGGGACGUGGGGAGGACUGAGGGGUAACGACGGUGGGACGUGGGGAGGACUGAGAGGUAACGACGGUGGGACGUGGGGAGGACUGAGGGGUAACGACGGUGGGACGUGGGGAGGCCUGAGGGGUAACGACGGUGGGACGUGGGGAGGACUGAGGGGUAACGACGGUGGGACGUGGGGAGGACUGAGAGGUAACGACGGUGGGACGUGGGGAGGACUGAGGGGUAACGACGGUGGGACGUGGGGAGGACUGAGGGGUAACGACGGUGGGACGUGGGGAGGACUGAGGGGUAACGACGGUGGGACGUGGGGAGGACUGAGGGGUAACGACGGUGGGACGUGGGGAGGACUGAGGGGUAACGACGGUGGGACGUGGGGAGGCCUGAGGGGUAACGACGGUGGGACGUGGGGAGGACUGAGGGGUAACGACGGUGGGACGUGGGGAGGCCUGAGGGGUAGUAAUGAUGGGAUGUGGGGAGGCGUGAGGGGACAGGAUGGGUGAUGGUGACAGUGACAGGGUGGGGACGGCGUCUGAGGUCUCCAUCGUGUUCGUGGGACAGGCCGCCUGCAUGGCCGCCGAGAGCCGUCUUGUUCCCCGCGGGCACAGGAGGGCGCGUCGCUGAGGGUGAAAGGGAAGCGGCAUGGCCAUGGGGCUUCCCCUUGCUGCCCACGAGCACCUGAGCCUCGGUGGGAGAGCCCGUCGGGGGGCGGAAAGUUCCUCGGUGUGUCCCCCGGCCACCCAGGUUCCCGUCGGGGGCCACCACAGCCUCCUUUGCUCUCUCUGCCUGGGUCUGCGGCUGCUGAGCUCUCGGGAGGGGAGGAGGGCCGACCUCAAGAGAGCUGUCGAGGCCUAAGGAGCCAGCGGCAGCCUGCACCUCACUCCUGCGGGCUGGCGGUGCGUGUGGGCCGACCCCGUCCCAGCGCCGGGUCAAGUGUGUUCCACAAGGUCUCAGACGCUGCAGGGACGCGUGGCCGGGACCAGACACAGCCCAGGCACCCUCCAGGGCCUUCCCGCUGCCCCAUGGCAGCAGCUGACAGAGAGCGGGAUGGACAACCCUGACACCACUCAGCAGAGGACAGCACAGCAACCGAACCGCAGAGGAGGCUGUACCGCCCACCCAUCCACACCGCGGACGAGAGCCGUACGUGGAGCCGUGCUCGCCCCGCAGACACGGCCUGUGCCGUAGCCCUGAGAGGAAAGCCACGGCUUCCCCUUUCACAGGUAGCAUGUGACCCUCACGGCGUGUGGGAGACCUGAAAGAGGAAACUUACUUUGCCUAACGUCAGAUGUCCCCGCAACAGGAUGUGUACUUACUAGGAAAGUCAUGGAAAGCUGGAUGGGCCUACUGGCUGGUGCCUGGGGGACGACUCAGACCCUGGGACAGGAGGGUUCCCACCCUGCCCAGCCAGCUCCUGGCCCCAGGAGUCCGUCCUCUCUCCUCCAAAUCUGGCCCCCGUCCCUUCCCUCUCUGGUCCUCCCUGUUUCACCUGCAGGGUGCUCAGUGCCCGGAACUUGGCGUAUCUGAGGUGGCCAGAGGCGCCAGCGGAGCAGGAUGUCGGAGCUGCCACUCGCCUUCCACUGUGCUGUGAGAGCCACCGGGACACGUCAGCAUCUCCCCUGUUCUGAAAUCAACACCGAGACACACCGAGUCCCUCCGGAGGCAUCUGCAGAGGCAGCAACGCCACGCGAGGGCUGCCGACUCUCCAGCUCCAACAUUUCGUCCGGACCUCCCGGCAGCGCAGCGGGGGAUCCCCUCCCGUGAGGGGCCCGGAGGGGCUUCGAGAAGGCUGUCGCCUGAUGGGCUCCGUCAAGUUUCCCCCUGCAGACCCUCAUUCUACCAGUUUUGAUUCCAUUUUAAAUCUGACUUCCAAGUGGCACCCCUGCCGACGGUCAAAACGCCCCCUCUCCUGGUGUGUGCCCUCCAUCCCCGCUUCCUGGGGGCAGCCGGUUUCUUGCUGUCUGGACAACAGAGCUCUGCCAAUGCCACUUAUCUCGCCCGUCCAGGACUUUAUCACCAACUGUCCUACUUCCGACUCCAGCAAAGGAGCGACAGCGAGCACGUCUGUGCUUGGCUGUGACUAACAGGGCCUCUGAAUAAAGUGAAAAUAAUCCCACUUUAAGCUGCAAGAGGAAAGACCCACAGAAGGAAAGUCCUUCACGGACGGAGACCCAGGAUCCUGAAAUGCAGUGCGUCCCUUCAACGUUCUGAGAAUAAAAAUUUAAACAUGCAAGCCCCGGGAGGAAAAGCAAUUCCUAAAACAUGGCAGAAACAACAUAAAAAAAAUCUUGCUGUUGUUUUAAAAACUGACCUAAGACCAGGCAUGGUGGCUCACACCUGUAAUCCCAGCACUUUGGGAAGCCAAGGCGGGAGGAUCACUUGAGGCCAAAAGUUCAAGACCAGCCUGGGCAAUGUAGUGAGACCACCCCCCAUCUCUACAAACAAAUGUAAAAAUUAGCCAGACAUGGUGGUGUGCACCUGUGGUCCCAGCUACUUGGGAGGCUGAGGUGGGAGGAUGGCUUGAGCCCAGGAGGUUGAGGCUGCAGUGAGCUGAGAUUGUACCACUGCAUUCCAGCCUGGGUGACAGAGCAAGACCCUGUCUCAGGAAAAAAAAUAAAAAAAUAAAAAAUAAAUAGCCUGAUCUCCUGUUUUCCAGGAAAGCCCGAGCCUUGUAAGGGUUUUUCAGAUGGUAGUGAAACAACUUGGAAGUCAGCAAUUCCUAAGGAUUUUCCAAAUCUUCUCAGACUAAAAUUCUCCCACUUUCCUGCUGCCUUGUUCAAACCAUGGUUCGGAGAUCUGUGAGCAGCCUGCCAGCCGCCGGAGGCUCUGAAGCCUUUCUGAGGCGAGGUCUUUGCACCUGAACGCUCUGGUAGAACAAGGUUUAGCAAAAGGGAGCCUGGAAGGGCCCAUCCUCACCUUCUGCCCAGUCCUGCAGGGCUCAGGACACAUCCUGGGGGCUAAUCUGUGGGAAGAGGUUUGACUGAGACCCCGUUCUGCUCUGUGAAUGGGCGGACUCUUCAGCAUCUCACACGGAGAAACAACUUCCUCCUGGAUCGGAGCCCAAGUCAGGGAUAAGGUGCCUCCUGCCUGCACCGUGGGCACUGGCCGCCUUGUUACAGAAUCAACGGCCGUCCACUGAGGGACACCGGGUGCCAGGGGUCCUAACACCCCUCCAGAGCACCCGGCACAGCUCUCCUUGGAGCUGGGUGCUACCCUUAGUCUCGUUUUGAAGACAGGACUGGGCGGUCAGGUCAGCCCAUCCUCACACUGCGGUGAGUAGCGGGGGCAGGAGCAGCCUUGCUGUGGGCCACGCCCUGGGCAAUGAGCGGUGGCUCCUUGGGGGAUCUCAGAUUUUUCCAAGUCUGUUUUCUAUAUGGCUGAACGAUGUGACAAAACACUUGUCAAGGACACCCUCUCAGGUGCUCUGAUCUGCAUCUUUCACGAGCGAGAGGGGGGGUGCCAGGCACUUCCUGGUGGACCUUCAGUUACCGCCCAUCAGAACACAAGCAGGCAGCGCGAAACAUGCUGGGCCCGGGGGCUCCAUCGCCCUUUACACUGCCACACUCAGCUUCCACAUGUUCUACUGUGGGCGUGUGCCCCUCCUUCAUGUUUCUGGGGUUCAUGGGGACAUUAGUGUUGUCCUUCCCUUUCUGUCUCAAAGAAUUGACUGUGCCUGUCAUUGGACGCAGCGGCUGCCAUGAAUGUCGACCGGGAAAGCGAUGGGAAAAGCUGUUCAGACACAGCUGAGCUGCCUCUACCUGGUCACCUGCACGCCAGGCCCAUGCAGUCUGCUCCAUCCCUGUCCCUGGCAGAGCCCAUCUGGGAGUGGUGGUGACUGUGCCAGCUGGAGACCCACUGAGCACCAGGGUGCAGCACAGACAACGACGCCCUCAGGCUGCGUGCAGUGAAGAGCCGGGAGAGGCAGCGCUAGAAUUGUUUUUAGGAACUGGAUUUGGGCUUAAAGAAUAAACAAUGUGGUUCAGCCACGCUAACCCAAAUACACUGUUUAAUCCUUGCAGUUAAAAAGUUUAAGUAGCACAGAUGAAGACUAUAACUUGCAUAAACGAUUUUUGUGUCAAUUUUUAAAAAGCAUAUUUGUUCAUAUAGGUACCACUAACUUAAUUGCACAAAACACAUUUAAAAGCAUCUUCCCUCUUUUUCAAUGGUUAUGUUAGUUCCAAUCAACAACCAAUUGUGCUAUGAUUAUUCAAGUCUAAGAGUAUUUAUCUAUGACCGCUAAACAAACCAGACAGUUUGGCAAGGACACAGGCCUCAGAAUUAUCAGACAUCAGAACGUCCUGCAGGACUGCUCCUUCUUUAGAGUUGUCAUUUUCCUUUACACUAAAGCAAUACAGGAAACAAAAAAGGCCGUCGUGAUGCCACCCACGGCCUACGGGGGCAUGUUCCUAUUGCCUCUUCCUGUCGCAGCGUCCCCAUCCGCCUCACUUUCCGUCCAGCAGGCUCCCUUCUAAGGCCCACCGUCCCACUGGACACAGCGUAAUUAAACCUGCAGCAGGAACGCAAUUGUCCCCAGCUUACUCCACCAUCCUCUGAGGGACAGAAAAGUGCAUAUUCUUCAGAGGACAAGUCAUCAAAAAUAACUUUUUAAAAAGAGCAAAACAAAACAGGAAAGACAUUCUCCUCCAUUCCUAUAACUAAGAGAUAAUUAUAAAAAGUAUUUGCUAACCUUCCCAGAAAAUACACCUUUAGCUAAAGUUAGUCUUGUAACCUAAGAGGGUAAUAAUUUGGGUAGGACACAGAUAGAACCAGAAAUAUCUCAGGCCAAAUCCUAUUCUUAAAUAACUAACUUCUAAGAUGUCUCCCAAUGACAUUUGCUGUACUCAGCUUUGACAAUAUCUAAUAAUUCUUGGAGUAAGAACGCCAUUUGAUGGUGGUUGAAAACCUUAAUGAACAUAUGGAUUUUCAUGGCUGUGGCGUUCAUUACAAAGGGGCAUGAUAGAUGUGUUUACUGACUGUUUUAUGGUUUCAUUGAAUUGCUGAAUACACAGCUUUCAAUUUUUCCAUCUGACAUACACAUUUAGACUUGUAUGGCUCUCAUUUAAGGUAUUACAGUAGAUAUGAGCUAAGUACAUAAAAAUAUGGUUAAAGCCACAAAUUAGAGAUCAGAAAAUAGGAAGCGAAGAGGAAAACGCUUUUGUUCCACUGUACGUAUAUCGUGUCUGAUGCAGAGGUGGCUUCGGUGUGUGCGCCAAGGUAACUGAAGAGGCCGCCUCUCAUGUGGGUUUUUUAAUUUUUUGAGAAGAAGCAACCUCUUAGAAAGUCUACCAUAAAUGUUUCCUCCUUCACAAGCAAAUAUCUGGAUUUUCCAUAACCUCCUACAUGAAGCCUCCACCACGGCCUCCUCGGUCCACCCUAAACUGUCCGACACUGCUGGGCGCCCGGCGCUCGGCUGAGAAACGGGGUAAGAACAAGGGCGGUUCUGCCACUCCACAGUCGAGGAGCCACCACAUUCUGAAAACGCAGGGUCGCAGCGUCUCUAGAACCCUUCUUUACGAUUCUGCAUUUUUCAAAGAUGCUUUGUAAAGCAGUGGAAAAUAACAGCUUCUCAAGUUUCAUUAAAAAGUAAGUUCUCAAGUCCAGGACCUAUUUCAGCCUUCACUUAUUUUUAUCUUUUUCAUCGCAAUAAGCCACCGCCACAGGGCCUGCUAUUUUUGGAAGGAGAGGACGGGACAACGGAGGGACGGCCUGACAAGUCACAGUUUUCAUAAAACAAGCCCCUCAUCUGGACGCAGCUGGUGGUGGGGAGCGGGACCGCCACUCGGGACGUCAGCCAUUAAGACAGAAUAAUUUUCCUACCUUAACUGCCUGCUUCCUUAUUUAGCCUGAAUGUUGCACAGAAUGCAAACGCCGUGUGGAAACUGCCAGGGUUCAGGGUACAGGACCACGUGCCUGGGAGAUUCCGACAGGCUGUCCUUCCGCCCCCCACCGAGACGGCAUGCGGGCGCGUGUUUCCACGGAUCUAGUCCGUCUUAUCUGCACCAAACUGCCAUUCCAGUCACUCACUGGGAUCAUUAAACCACCACUUGCAGUUUUCCAGGGCUUUCUUUGUUCUACUAGGAAGUAUAUGCCCCCAAAUUAUGAAAUUCCAUUUCAAACAGAAUUAACAGAAUUUAAAAAAUAAAAAUGUUA